CCUGCAGAAACUGUAUCAAACUGUUCUUUUUGUCCUCUUUUAUGUUGAGCUUGUUGAUUGUUAGGCAAAACCAUAAUGUUAUUCGAUACAAUGUUAUCCCUAUAUUAAAUCAGAAAAAAUAUUAUAUAUAUUUAAAAUGAAAAAGAAAAAGACAAUAACAUAUAUUUCAAUGUCCUAAAAAGUAAAUAAUAUGAUAUUGCUUAAAUAAUAUGAUAGUAUAUUAGUAUUUGUAACAUCUAUACCAAGAUUUUAACAUAGUCUGUACAAAUAUACUCAACACCAUUCUGUGUCUUAUAUUGCACAGUUGAGUAAAAUAUUUUCCCUAAGGUCCAAACAGUUCCAUGAAUUAUCCAAUAAUGUUUUACGUAAGGUCCAACACCAUUCAUUGAGCAUUCUAAUAAAAAAAUGAAGGGUGUGCAAUAUAAAGUUUUAAGUCUCUUAAUCAUGAUUCCUGACAUAAUUGUAGGUUACAAACUGAAUGUGAUUUUUGGACUACAACGUCUUACAGAGAAGCUUACUAUUUAAAGUCUUGAAAAUGUAAACAGUAGUACAAACAAACUUAAAAUGAAAAUUUAAAAUUUAAAUAACUGAAACUGUUCUGGAAUGAACAUCAAAUAGAAGUUGAUGUCCUAGAGACUCUGAAACCAAUUUAUUAUCUCAAAGGUUUGCUUAUCAUUAUGACUCUUACAAUACUAAUGCUUUGAUAAAGACUAAUUGUAGAGAUUAAGUUCUCAAAAACUAAUUACAAAAUGUUGGAAAAAAAUAAAAAUAAAACUAAAUUUGUGUUUUUAAAAUUAAAUAAAAUGAUAUUUAAUGCUCUAACGCUCACACCAGAUAUGAAUCAAAAUGUCUCACGACAUUUUUGGAAUAAAUUUAAAUGAAUAAGUAAAACUUACACUGACUCAAUUACUGAAUUUAGCAUUGAUUGUGCUCGUUCCUUCUCUCUUCUUAUGCGUUGCCCUAGCUUUGCCUUACUUAUCUCUUCAGUUCCAUUUGAAAAUAUAGCUUUCAAUGACUUUGUUUGAGAAGUUGAAUCACUGCCAUGUAGGUAACAUUAUAAGCAUCAUUAUUUUAUGUUACAAAUAAUGAAAAUUGUUGUUCAUGUAAUUAAAUAAAAUAAAAAAAUUAUAUUAUCUAUGUGCAAUCCUUAUGCAUUGAUUUGAAAAAACUUACAUAGGUUCAAUUACUGAAUUUAGAAUCGAUUGCGCUCGUUCCCUUUCUCUUCUCAAACGUUGUCCUUGUUUUGCCUUACUUAUCUCUUCACUGUUGGUUGAAGAAGUUUUCACACUUUUGACAGGUAUUUUUUUCUU
RNAcentral lists this long non-coding RNA (1310 nucleotides) under Aquilegia coerulea. RNAcentral's name for it is "long non-coding RNA (ACOE_LNC001417)". The record is from RNAcentral. Lineage: Eukaryota; Viridiplantae; Streptophyta; Magnoliopsida; Ranunculales; Ranunculaceae.